This 891-nucleotide long non-coding RNA is filed under the name Cricetulus griseus (Chinese hamster). RNAcentral's name for it is "lncRNA (ENSCGRG00015036815.1)". Lineage: Eukaryota; Metazoa; Chordata; Mammalia; Rodentia; Cricetidae. The record is from RNAcentral.
CCUCUGAAACUGCCAGCCAUGAACUGUGUUUUCUGUUGAUCUUUUCCCUCUGAAUAUUGACAACAUUAUAAUGAGGAUUCAGCAAAGGGUUCAGUGUGGCUACAUUUAUGUUGAGGUCUUUGAUCCAUUUGGACUUAAGUUUUAUAGCCACUUUGGAAAUCAGUAUGCUUACUCCUCAGGAAAAUUGGAAUCAGUCUACCACAAGAUCCAGCAAUUCUACUCUUAGGCAUAUAUACCCAAAAGAAGCACAUUCAUACAACAAGGACAUCUGUUCAAGAAUGUUCAUAGCGACACUAAUUUGUAAUAGCCAGAACCUGGAAGCAACCUAGAUGCCCCUCAACUGAAGAAUGAAUAGAAAAAAUGUGGUACAUUUACACAAUGUAGUACUACUCAGUGGGAAAAAAAACAAUGGAAUCUUGAAAUUUGCAGGAAAAUGGAUGGAACUAGAAGAAACCAUUCUGAGCAAGUGGUUGGAAGUAGAAGCAGACACCCACAGCUAAACACUGAACUGAACUGGAGUCCAGUUGCAGAGAAAGAAGAGUGAUGAUCAAAGGGUCCAGACAAGGCUGGUGAAACCUACAGAAACAGCUGACCUGAACAAGGGGCAGCGCUUGGUUCCCAGACUGAUAGCUGGGAUACCAGCAUGGGACUGAUCCAGAACCCAGGAUUGUGGGUUUCAGUGAGGAGACAUCGUAAAUCUAUGGGACCUUCUGUAGUAGUUCAGUACUUAUCUCUAGCAUAGGUGUGGACUUUGGGAGCCCAUUACUCAUAUAGGGAUACUCCCUGAGCCAAGCCACAUGGGGGGUGGGCCUAAGCCCUCUACCAAAUAAUAUGAUAGACUCUUAUGAACCCUUAUGGAAGGUCUCACCCUUCCUGGGGAGCAGAAAGGAU